CUAGAAAAGUGGUAGGGUCGGGACAAUGGGAGGCAAGACUCACUAAUGUCAGCAGCAGAAGUCCGUGUACAGUGGCCAAAGGCCAGGUGACCCCCGCCCAAAAGAGAGACAAGACCUCAGGGGAUAGCAACAAAGACAGGAUGACAGCUUAGGGACUGGGCCAUCCUUCAUCAUCACCAUUAUAAAAUUUAAGGUUCCUUCUGAGCCAAAAAGUCACUCGGGAAUAGCAAGACGGAGGAGGGAAAAUCCCCUGCAAGUUGGAACACUCCAGCUCUUGGAACAUGCCAAGGAAAGCUAGAAACUUAGCAGAGACUGGUGCUCAGGAGACAGGAAUUUAGGCAAGAGUGAGAAAAAUUCUAGGCAUGGACCUGUGGGAUCAAGGAAAAGUCCCCCAUAUCACCUGUCCCCUGGAGCUGUCUUUGUUUUCCUGCUUUGUCCCUUGCAGUGACCAUCACAGGAAGGCUCGUGGACACCUGACCUGGACAUAGGCGGAGUGAGACUUUCACCACUGCGGUUCAUAUUAAAUUUGGUUUUUACUCAUUUUAUGCUUUGUUUGGAAGAUUGGGUGUCAAAACGCUUUUUGGGUAUUACGAAAUAAAGUUUAAAAGCUAUUUUGAAACGUGGGUCGUGAAAGUUUGUUGACUAUUUCUGGAUGUAAUCAAACAGCUCAGGUUAAAGUACAAGGAACUGGCUUCACCUCUCAGUGUCCAUGGAGUUCUUCCCUGACACCCUGAGUCUCUCUUCUAGCUUAGGUUCAGGAGUAUCCUCACUCAAGGCUUCAUCGGCGUAAAGAAGCUGUGUGUGUCUAUUCCUCGAGACCCAAAGGUACAUGGAUGCUUAACACAAUGCCAAAACCAGCAGGCUGAGCAAGUCAUAAGGCAUAGACCCUCAGGACACAAAAGGAACCCAGGGCUGGGGCAGAGGAUUUCUGUGGUUCUGAGACUCGGUGCAGAAUUGACAUCAUGGCUCUCCAGGGUCCGUGCCUCACUUUUACAAGCAGAAAAGAGGACAGUCGCCUGCUAGAAGCUGUGGCCUUGCAGGACACUUCUUGGCCAGUGCUUCCCUCCACCCCCUAUCUCAGCUUCUUGAGGACUCUGCCAGCAGGAGAGGACUGAGGACUGUGCCUCAGCAGGUCUGUUCUUGCUUAUGUGACUCAUGGCCAUGGCUUCUCUGUUGCCCAAGACUUGUAUGUACAGCCCCGAUCAGCUGGGUUUUAUCACUGCUUCCUGGAUUCCUCUUAUUUUUUCUUGUGCUGCUUGAAGGACCAGUGCUUCCGCCUAUCUGCUGCCAGGAUCACAUUAGGGCUUCCCGUGUCUGCGGCUCACGUCUUGGCUCGGGGACAUACCUGCGAUGAUACUGAACAAGUUGAGGCCAUCGCCUGGGGACUAACUCACUGCUAAAUGACGUCAAUAAACCCCUUUGAGGUUGCUGCAGACAGGCGUCCUUGGCUGUCAGCACCAGGGAAUGGCUCACCAUGGCAAGUUAGAGAACAGUGUUACUCUAGCCAAGGUCCCUGGGUCUGAUGACCUUCAUUUACAGGGACAAGCCCAGCCCCAACCAGCUUUCUAGAAGUACAGUUUGACUGUGAUUUUUUUUUUUUAAUCGAGGUUUGAUUAAAUCAAGGAAAAUUUAUAGAUCUUAA
Herpailurus yagouaroundi (jaguarundi) is the source of this 1642-nucleotide long non-coding RNA. RefSeq lists it as uncharacterized. The record is from RefSeq and is a predicted model, not a curated record. Lineage: Eukaryota; Metazoa; Chordata; Mammalia; Carnivora; Felidae. The transcript has 2 exons.